UACGGAGGUGGCAAGCGUUGUCCGGAAUUAUUGGGCGUAAAGCGCGCGUAGGUGGUUCCUUAAGUCUGAUGUGAAAGCCCACGGCUCAACCGUGGAGGGUCAUUGGAAACUGGGGAACUUGAGUGCAGAAGAGGAAAGUGGAAUUCCACGUGUAGCGGUGAAAUGCGUAGAGAUGUGGAGGAACACCAGUGGCGAAGGCGACUUUCUGGUCUGUAACUGACACUGAGGCGCGAAAGCGUGGGGAGCGAACAGG
Molecule: ribosomal RNA, 253 nt
Filed under: uncultured bacterium
Lineage: Bacteria
Description: partial 16S ribosomal RNA
Rfam family: Bacterial small subunit ribosomal RNA
Source: RNAcentral